Molecule: ribosomal RNA, 202 nt
Filed under: Clostridioides difficile
Lineage: Bacteria; Bacillati; Bacillota; Clostridia; Peptostreptococcales; Peptostreptococcaceae
Description: partial 16S ribosomal RNA
Rfam family: Bacterial small subunit ribosomal RNA
Source: RNAcentral
AAUAUCAAAGGUGAGCCAGUACAGGAUGGACCCGCGUCUGAUUAGCUAGUUGGUAAGGUAACGGCUUACCAAGGCGACGAUCAGUAGCCGACCCGAGAGGGUGAUCGGCCACAUUGGAACUGAGACACGGUCCAAACUCCUACGGGAGGCAGCAGUGGGGAAUAUUGCACAAUGGGCGAAAGCCUGAUGCAGCAACGCCGCG